This 181-nucleotide ribosomal RNA is filed under the name uncultured bacterium. RNAcentral describes it as "partial 16S ribosomal RNA". It matches the Rfam family "Bacterial small subunit ribosomal RNA", at positions 1320 to 1500 of the family's 1533-position model. The record is from RNAcentral.
AUGAAGCUGGAAUCGCUAGUAAUCGCGGAUCAGAAUGCCGCGGUGAAUACGUUCCCGGGUCUUGUACACACCGCCCGUCACACCAUGGGAGUCGGGAAUGCCCGAAGCCGGUGACCGAACCGCAAGGACGGAGCCGUCGAAGGCAGAUUCGAUAACUGGGGUGAAGUCGUAACAAGGUAAC